UAAUGUGGAAAACUAUUUUAUCUCUCUCUCUUUCCUUCUUUUUUUCUUUUGUUUUGUUGUUGUUGUUUUUUCACACGCUCUUCGUCUCUUUCUCGCUCUCUCUCGAUUACACGCACACACAAACAGAGAGAGAGAGAGAGAGAGAGAGAGAGAGAGAUAGAGAGAUAGAGAGAUAAG
RNAcentral lists this microRNA precursor (177 nucleotides) under Trypanosoma vivax Y486. Lineage: Eukaryota; Euglenozoa; Kinetoplastea; Trypanosomatida; Trypanosomatidae. The record is from RNAcentral.